This 216-nucleotide long non-coding RNA is filed under the name Nicotiana benthamiana. RNAcentral's name for it is "long non-coding RNA (NBEN_LNC019591)". Lineage: Eukaryota; Viridiplantae; Streptophyta; Magnoliopsida; Solanales; Solanaceae. The record is from RNAcentral.
GAUGAAACAGUGAACUUCAGUUGUUGUUUUUUUGAUUUUUUUAUUUUUUCUUCUAUCUCCUUCUCUACCAAACAGUACAACUUGCAGUUUUGUAUUUUUGGAUUUUUCCUAUGAAUCUCUAGGCAUCCUAAUUUUUCCAGAUUUUCUCCUCUAAUUCUUCAGGUUUUCAGAAUGUCUAAGGCUUUGUAUUUUUCUGGAUAUUCAGCUCUCCAAAAC